RNAcentral lists this ribosomal RNA (440 nucleotides) under uncultured soil bacterium. RNAcentral's name for it is "bacterial SSU rRNA". It matches the Rfam family "Bacterial small subunit ribosomal RNA", at positions 26 to 518 of the family's 1533-position model. The record is from RNAcentral.
AGAACGAACGCUGGCGGCAUGCCUAACACAUGCAAGUCGAACGAGACCUUCGGGUCUAGUGGCGCACGGGUGCGUAACGCGUGGGAAUCUGCCCUUGGGUUCGGGAUAACAGUUGGAAACGACUGCUAAUACCGGAUAAUGACUUCGGUCCAAAGAUUUAUUGCCCAGGGAUGAGCCCGCGUAGGAUUAGCUAGUUGGUGAGGUAAAGGCUCACCAAGGCGACGAUCCUUAGCUGGUCUGAGAGGAUGAUCAGCCACACUGGGACUGAGACACGGCCCAGACUCCUACGGGAGGCGGCAGGUGGGGAAUAGUUGGACAAUGGGACGAAAGCCUGAUCCAGCAAUGCCGCGUGAGUGAUGAAGGCCUUAGGUGUAAGCUCUUUACCGGGAUGAUAUGACAGUACCGGAGAAUAACGCCCGACUACUCGUGCCAGCAGCCGC